Long non-coding RNA from Sphaeramia orbicularis (orbiculate cardinalfish), 163 nucleotides. RefSeq lists it as uncharacterized. The record is from RefSeq and is a predicted model, not a curated record. The transcript has 3 exons. Lineage: Eukaryota; Metazoa; Chordata; Actinopteri; Kurtiformes; Apogonidae.
AUUAAAUAUGGAGCCAAUCCUGCGCCUCAGUGAAGGCCAGAAGCAUGUUGGUUUUUAUAACAAUAUACAGUGAUUCAAUCAGAUUUUACAGAAAUUUUUAAGCUGUAAAUAGUGAGUAUGAGGGAUUUUUGUCAGUUUAUAACAGCAUAAGAGAGUCUUGGCU